This 516-nucleotide long non-coding RNA is filed under the name Sparus aurata (gilthead seabream). RNAcentral's name for it is "lncRNA (ENSSAUG00010001726.1)". Lineage: Eukaryota; Metazoa; Chordata; Actinopteri; Spariformes; Sparidae. The record is from RNAcentral.
UGGUACGAGAGGAGCAAAACAUGCCGUCUCCGUUUGACCGCUCUCUUCAUCCGACUCAAAGGUUUUUUUUGUUUUGUUUUUUUCUUCUCCUUUUUAUUUAAUUCAUGUGAGGUUUGUCUGCUCACAUCUGUACAGCGGCGAGUAGAGGACAUCACAGAGACGCGGAUGCCAUCACUUGACUCACCAGAGCGUUUCCCUAAAAACAUGAAGUCUGAGUUGGAGAUAUCCCUAGAUAAUGAAGUGUUGGAUUCGCUCAGCAUGGAAACUCCCCAAACUCCCGCAGCCUGCCAAGGAGAAACUGAAGUGUCUUUAAGUAAUCUGGACAAGGCUGUGCUGAAUAUUUGCUGCGAGGGCUGGCAUCAGCAGCAGGAGUCCCCAGCGACCGGUGAUAGGAUAGCCAAGAGACUGACCCGAGAGACUGACCCGAGAGGACCCAAGAGACUCUAGGUGAGAGACUGAGCGUGUAGCAUCUAGCACUGUUAUUAGUAUGGGGGGGCGCUCAUGUUAAAUAAUAAA